Molecule: ribosomal RNA, 400 nt
Filed under: uncultured bacterium
Lineage: Bacteria
Description: bacterial SSU rRNA
Rfam family: Bacterial small subunit ribosomal RNA
Source: RNAcentral
UGCCUCAAACUGGGGGAUAGCCUGGCGAAAGCGAGGGUAAACCCGCAUGGUCCUUUUCGGUCACCUGGCCGGCUAGGUAAACAGUUUCUGGGUUUGAGAGGGGCUUGCGUCUGAUUAGCUAGUUGGGGGGGUAGUGGCCCACCAAGGCGAUGAUCAGUAGGGGUUCUGAGAGGAUUGGCCCCCACAUGGGUACUGAGACACGGACCCAACUCCUACGGGAGGCAGCAGUAGGGAAUAUUGGGCAAUGGGCGCAAGCCUGACCCGGCCAUGCCGCGUGCCGGAUGAAGGCGCUCAGCGUUGUAAACGGCUUUUGACGGGGAAGAACGGGUGGUAUGCGUACCAUCGUGACGGUACCCGCAGAAUAAGCACCGGCUAACUCCGUGCCAGCAGCCGCGGUAAU